GUAUCCCCCCCCAAAACCUAUAAAUCCUCACUGAACUAAGGCCUGGGACUCACUCUUUGGGGCCACAGUGUUGGAAACAGUUGUGAAUCCAGGCUCGAGCUUGCAAUAAAGACUCUUGUGUGAUUGCAUUUGGAUUUGGCUCCUAGAGGUCUAUUGGGGUCCCACGAAUCUGGCAUUACAUCUGGGGGCUCAUCCGGGAUCCUCCAGAUCCUAGGAUCCCAAAACUGGAGAGUCUAACACCGGUGAGUCUUAUUAUUUGUGUGUCUGUUGUCUGCUUUG
This 279-nucleotide long non-coding RNA is filed under the name Marmota monax (woodchuck). The record is from RNAcentral. Lineage: Eukaryota; Metazoa; Chordata; Mammalia; Rodentia; Sciuridae.